GACGAACGCUGGCGGCGUGCUUAACACAUGCAAGUCGAACGGAAAGGCCUCUUUCGGGGGGUACUCGAGUGGCGAACGGGUGAGUAACACGUGAGUAACCUGCCCUUGACUUUGGGAUAACUUCAGGAAACUGGGGCUAUUACCGGAUAGGAGCUCCUGCUGCAUGGUGGGGGUUGGAAAGUUUCGGCGGUUGGGGAUGGACUCGCGGCUUAUCAGCUUGUUGGUGGGGUAGUGGCUUACCAAGGCUUUGACGGGUAGCCGGCCUGAGAGGGUGACGGGCCACAUUGGGACUGAGAUACGGCCCAGACUCCUACGGGAGGCAGCAGUGGGGAAUAUUGCACAAUGGGUGGAAGCCUGAUGCAGCAACGCCGUGUGCGGGAUGACGGCCUUCGGGUUGUAAACCGCUUUCGCUCAUGACGAAGCUUUGUGUGACGGUAGUGGGUAAAGAAGCACCGGCUAACUACGUG
RNAcentral lists this ribosomal RNA (467 nucleotides) under uncultured bacterium. Its description in RNAcentral is "partial 16S ribosomal RNA". It matches the Rfam family "Bacterial small subunit ribosomal RNA", at positions 28 to 507 of the family's 1533-position model. The record is from RNAcentral.